This is a long non-coding RNA of Astatotilapia calliptera (eastern happy), 1317 nucleotides long. The record is from Ensembl. Lineage: Eukaryota; Metazoa; Chordata; Actinopteri; Cichliformes; Cichlidae.
GAAUGAUUCAAUAUCUGGCUUUUCCACAUCUCGCUACAAGUACCCUCAGGGAACAACAGAGACAAGUAAGAGCUCCCAUUCUAACCCUUCCUCGUAAUGUUUGUUCAGGUUUCAAGCUGUACUAUGUAUCUUUGCAUGAUGGAGGGCCCAGACGGCCUACAAGAAGUACUCAUCUGAGGAUUUUAGGUACUCAAAAACACUGAAAGAUGGCAUCAUGAAACUGCACUCAGUUCUAAGCACAUGUCAACACACUUAUUAAGAUGCAGCUUUCAGAAAUGAAUAGCAGUGGUACUUAAAACUUAGUCCAAUUAUUACUUUUACAUUAUAGAAAUGCAAUUUAUUUUAAUUAUGGAGCCACUCAGAGUCUGUAUUUUAGCUGAGCAGAUGGACCUAAUGCUUGGAGAAAAGCUGUACAGGUUAUAAAAGGUCACAAAUAAACACUUGAGUGUCUCUUUUUUUGUCUUCGCAAAAAUCUAAUUGUACAAAUGUGUUAGUGCAGUUGUAUCUUAGUCUUAACUGUAGAGUGAGAUAACAGCUGAAGCUGCUCUUUCAUCUGGAGCCACCCGUAGUCAAUAGUUCUCAUGACUUUUUGAAGGUAUUUAAAGCUUCUUUUUUUUUUUUUUUAGACACUGGCUGAUUUUUCACUCAUUUUCAAUCCAAUCCUUGCACCCAACCAUUUUUAAAAUAUUUUAUUUGUUACUAGUUUGGAAGCCAUUAAAUAGUAUUUUUUGGACCAAAGCUGACAUUUCCCAUAUAAAUACUAAUUGAAAGCUUGACAUAUCUCGACAUGGUGUGCAAUUUUAUCUUAAUGUCUCUGGCUUUUCAGUUGUAUUCAUGUUCCUUCGCAGCUGCAGUGUUGUCAUACGGCCAAGGUAUGGGUUGUUCUUGAAAUUUUUAUCCCUUUGUUCUUAAAGAGCGGAGCAGCUUUAAGAUUAUGCCAGCAGAUUAAACCGAAUUGAUCACAGCUUCAAUGCCACUACUCAACACAGGCUUUGAAGUAGUGUUGGCAGCCGUCUAAAAAAAAAGAGCCUCUUGUGAUUUUGCUGUCAGAUGUAGACUUAAAAUGCAGGUGUACAGAGGCUGAGAGCAUAUAAGGAACAAAACAUUAAAACAAAAGAUUAAAAAGAAGAGCCAAAAGUAAACAAAAAUGACAUGAGAGAAAAUUUUCUCUCACAAGUGCAGACUAUAAGCAGCGAUUUGGUGAUUUGAGGCCAAAAAAAAUGUGUCUAAAUAAAAAGUAAUGAUUUUAAACUCACUGAAUCUACCUAUGUUUUUCUCCAUACUGAAUUAAAGUUAUGUAAACACACUGAACAGAAC